RNAcentral lists this ribosomal RNA (460 nucleotides) under uncultured bacterium. RNAcentral's name for it is "partial 16S ribosomal RNA". It matches the Rfam family "Bacterial small subunit ribosomal RNA", at positions 338 to 795 of the family's 1533-position model. The record is from RNAcentral.
CCUACGGGAGGCAGCAGUGAGGAAUAUUGGUCAAUGGGCGCGAGCCUGAACCAGCCAAGUAGCGUGAAGGAUGACUGCCCUCCGGGUUGUAAACUUCUUUUAUAAAGGAAUAAAGUGAGGCACGUGUGCCUUUUUGUAUGUACUUUAUGAAUAAGGAUCGGCUAACUCCGUGCCAGCAGCCGCGGUAAUACGGAGGAUCCGAGCGUUAUCCGGAUUUAUUGGGUUUAAAGGGAGCGUAGAUGGGCUGUUAAGUCAGUUGUGAAAGUUUGCGGCUCAACCGUAAAAUUGCAAUUGAUACUGGCAGCCUUGAGUACAGUAGAGGUAGGCGGAAUUCGUGGUGUAGCGGUGAAAUGCGUAGAGAUCACGAAGAACUCCGAUUGCGAAGGCAGCUUACUAAACUGUCACUGACAUUGAGGCUCGAAAGUGUGGGUAUCAAACAGGAUUAGAUACCCGGGUAGUC